AAACGAUAAAGGCAAACCUUUCGAAAGAAAGGGACGCAAAGCUAUAGGGCCUUACCCGCAAGGGUUGGCAGCCAGCCACCGAA
RNAcentral lists this non-coding RNA (83 nucleotides) under Saccharibacillus sacchari. Its description in RNAcentral is "c-di-GMP sequence". It matches the Rfam family "c-di-GMP-I riboswitch aptamer". From Rfam's summary of the family: GEMM was predicted in a large-scale screen for bacterial structured RNA regulatory elements. Genes associated with GEMM are involved in a diverse array of functions, including chemotaxis regulation, signal transduction, secretion and chitin. The record is from RNAcentral. Lineage: Bacteria; Bacillati; Bacillota; Bacilli; Caryophanales; Paenibacillaceae.